CAGUAGCCGCGGUAAUACGAAGGGGGCUAGCGUUGCUCGGAAUUACUGGGCGUAAAGGGAGCGUAGGCGGACUGUUUAGUCAGAGGUGAAAGCCCAGGGCUCAACCUUGGAAUUGCCUUUGACACUGGCAGUCUUGAGUACGGAAGAGGUAUGUGGAACUCCGAGUGUAGAGGUGAAAUUCGUAGAUAUUCGGAAGAACACCAGUGGCGAAGGCGACAUACUGGUCCGUUACUGACGCUGAGGCUCGAAAGCGUGGGGAGCAAACAGGAUUAGAUACCCCAGUAGUCCCUGUCUCUUAUAC
RNAcentral lists this ribosomal RNA (301 nucleotides) under uncultured bacterium. RNAcentral's name for it is "partial 16S ribosomal RNA". It matches the Rfam family "Bacterial small subunit ribosomal RNA", at positions 509 to 807 of the family's 1533-position model. The record is from RNAcentral.